RNAcentral lists this unclassified non-coding RNA (2054 nucleotides) under Hevea brasiliensis (rubber tree). The record is from RNAcentral. Lineage: Eukaryota; Viridiplantae; Streptophyta; Magnoliopsida; Malpighiales; Euphorbiaceae.
CUCCCCCCCCCCUCUCUGUCUCUCUCUCUCUCUAAUCUUUUCUCUUUAAAGCCAAUCUUUGGUCUUUACUUGUUCUUUGUCAGUCCAAAUAAAUUCUUGAUUCUUUCUUGGUUUCUUCUUUCUCUACCCGGAGAAUCGGUAUCAUUCUCUACUUAUAUGUAGUUGUAGAGCGUAAUUGUGACGGAGAAGAGCAGAAUGGAACAGAGAAGUAGCCCCUCCUACCGACCCAAGUUCACUAGGAAUGAUGAGAUUGAAGUCGCGGCAGUCUUGCUUAUGCUUCCUAGUUUAAUCGCUGAUGGCCUUCGAUUUUCAUUAUCUUGGGGUUCUAAAAAGCGGAGAUCUUGUUCCUAUGAGACCUCGUUUCAGAGCCGGGUUCAUUUACAAUCACCACCGCCCGUCCCUUCACUUCAUGGGAUUGGUUUUCUUCUGGGCUCUGCCUUUGACCCCGAGAAGGCUGCCGUCAAAGUCGAGGCUUCGAGUCCUGCCACGCCUCUCUCCUUCUGUCCCAGUGAAUCUGAUGAGAAGCCUAAGCGUUUGAAAAGAAAAGCCUCUGUUAAGAAGGUUUCCCCCUUGUGUCUGAGAUUUUUCUUUUCUUCCAAGAAUUCACUGUAUCUCCAUUGCUUACCGAUCUGUGGUUUGUGGAUUAUCUUGCAGACGAAAGAGGAGUGGCUAGAAAUUAUGGAGCAAUACACUCAGAGCAACGAGUUACUUAUAAAGGAGAUAAAGCAGUUGAGGCAUUAUUACGAGGAGCUGAAAGCAAGCAAUUUGUGGCUGCAAGCAAAGAAACAAGAGCUGAGUCUUGGCAAUGUUAGAGGAGAAAAGCCGCACUUGGAACUGAAAACCAGCUUAAAUCUUCUCGAGGUGAAACUUGGGCAAUCCACAGUGAAAGCAUCUACUGUAGUUGGAUACGAAGGUCAUCAUCUACAUUUGGUGGUUGAUCAGCGAUCUUUGAUCAUGGAUAAGACUGCUAAUAAAGCUGGAACAGCUGAGAGUUAUCCAUUCCCGUAUGAUCAAGCACUGUCAUUGUUCCCAUCAAGAAGCGGAUUGAGCAUGAGCAUGAUCAAAGGCGAUGUGGGCCCAAAUGGUAUCCCUGAUCUCAACGUAUCUCCAAUAGAGUCUGUCGACUUUGCUCAGCUAGUUGACGGCAGCAGGACUCUAACCAAGGCAAUGGCUGCGCAGGCUAGGCAGAGAAGGAUGCAAAUUUGCAGGGACAAGAACUCCAAUUAUGGUAGUAAGCUACGUCUCUCACAUAGAUGAUAAUUUUUGGGUUUUCUUUUAACUAUUAUAGUCGUAAUCGUCAACUACGUCUCUCACAUAGAUGAUAUUUUUGGGUUUUUUUUUUAAUUAAAUAUUAUCCCAAUAUAUAUUUCUACGAUUGUAAACUCUAGUCAGGAGAUUUUGGGCUAUUAAUUCUCCAAUAUUUGAUAUGAAAGAAUCAAAUAUGUCGGAAAUCUCGGCGUCUGUCUUCUCUAGAUCCUAGUAUUUGUGUAGAAAUAGGAAUCAGUAAUAGAAAUAGAUCCAAUUUGUGUUGGAGUUGUUUGUUUGGUCAGUUUGGUUUGAUUCACUUAUUCAGGAGUAGAUUUUAUUCUCUCUGGUACAUUUACGAGGCCACGUAUCAUAUGAGAAAGGCGUUUACGUGAUGCAAUCGUAGCCAAAAAAGCUAAUUCUGGCAAGUUUAACAUGUGGUGCGGCCUUAUUGAGCCUCUUGUUAUUACCAAGCAUACGCCUAACUUUGACGCUGCCCAGCUCCAUUGGCUUUACCUUUAUGGCCCCCAUUCCUCGUGGGUCGCAAUUGAAAUUGUCAUUUUUUGCCAAUCAGACGAAACAAAAAAUCAAGUUGAUUCAACGUAAACAGAACGGGUCAAUUUGAUACACAGCGGACGCUUAGUACUCACGGCUGUGUAAGAAAACAAAUUUGCGUCACUGCAAACAGAACGCGUCUAUUUAAUACACAGCGGACGCCUAGUACUCACGGCUGUGUCCGAUUUCAGAGUCCAAAUUGAAUGUAAAUUUUUUUUUUUCCAUGGGAAUGUAAAAAUUGAGCUAUAUUAAAU